RNAcentral lists this ribosomal RNA (252 nucleotides) under uncultured bacterium. RNAcentral describes it as "partial 16S ribosomal RNA". It matches the Rfam family "Bacterial small subunit ribosomal RNA", at positions 524 to 776 of the family's 1533-position model. The record is from RNAcentral.
UACGAAGGGUGCAAGCGUUACUCGGAAUUACUGGGCGUAAAGCGUGCGUAGGUGGUUUGUUAGUCUGUUGUGAAAGCCCCGGGCUCAACCUGGGAAUGGCAAUGGAUACUGGCAAGCUAGAGUGCGGUAGAGGGUAGUGGAAUUCCCGGUGUAGCGGUGAAAUGCGUAGAGAUCAUGAGGAAUACCAAAGGCGAAGGCAGUGUCCUGGGGAGUGUCUGACGCUCAGGCGCGAAAGCUAGGGGAGCGAACAGG